CAGUACUGAGUACGUCAAUGGCGAUUACUCAAAAAGUGAAGAGCAAAUUAACAAUGGUGAUAUGAUCCGAACAGUGACGGAGGUCGGAAGAAUGACCGGAGGAGCUUUAUCGGAAUGUAUAUUUUGCCAGAUUGCUACCUCUUCAACUUCAACCACUCUCCUUCACUCCGAUGAUAAAGUUGUUGCAUUUCAAGAUAUUAAUCCCUCUGCCUUCAGGCAUUACUUGGUAAUUCCAAAACAGCACAUUCCAACUGUCAAAAACCUUCAGCGAAGCUCAGACGACUUCUCCUUGGUGAGUCACAUGUUAGAUGUGGGAAAGAGUCUGCUAGAUAGGGAUGCACCUCAGUCAAAGCACUACAGAUUUGGUUUCCAUCAGCCUCCAUUCAACAGUGUAGAUCACCUCCACCUCCACUGCUUCGCGCUUCCUUAUACUCCAAGCUGGCGAUUUAUGAAAUACUUAUCAUUG
This 466-nucleotide unclassified non-coding RNA is filed under the name Hevea brasiliensis (rubber tree). The record is from RNAcentral. Lineage: Eukaryota; Viridiplantae; Streptophyta; Magnoliopsida; Malpighiales; Euphorbiaceae.